Molecule: unclassified non-coding RNA, 148 nt
Organism: Pongo abelii (Sumatran orangutan)
Lineage: Eukaryota; Metazoa; Chordata; Mammalia; Primates; Hominidae
Rfam family: Metazoan signal recognition particle RNA
About the family: The signal recognition particle (SRP) is a universally conserved ribonucleoprotein. It is involved in the co-translational targeting of proteins to membranes. The eukaryotic SRP consists of a 300-nucleotide 7S RNA and six proteins: SRPs 72, 68, 54, 19, 14, and 9.
Source: Ensembl
GCUGGGUGUGGUGGUGCGCGCCUGUAGUCCCAGCUACUCAGGAGGCUGAGGCAGGAGAAUCACUUGAACCCAGGAGGCAGAGGUUGCAGUGAGCUGAGAUUGCGCCACUGCACUCCAGCCUGGGCGACAGAGUGAGACUCUGUCUCAA